AGAUUCGCCCCAGAACGCUAAGGAAGUGGAUGUAAGAAGACAAGGAGAGGAAAUUGGCCACCUCCAUGUCCACUUGCUUACAUUAUCCUAAGGAAGAGCAACCUAAAAUGCAAAUCUGUCCGUUCACACGGGGAAGUUCUGCUGCAGACAGUGCAUUAUUCAUUUUGCUGGCCUGGGUGUGUUCCUCAAAGGUGAUUUUAACAGUGGCUUCAAACGGAAAACAAUGGAUUCUAUCUCCAGCCUCCUAGAGAGGCUGAUUCAUGUAUCCUGCCAUGUUGGGAGAUUAAUACAUCUGAGAACAAUUUAUCCAGAAUAUCCACACGCACCCGCUGGAUUAAAAAAAAGAAAAGGUCUGCCACCCUCAUCACACCGAUAAAGACAGCUCACCGGCUGGGACUCCUAAGAUCUACCCCAGGCCAGGGAAGGGAGGCAGGAAAGGAAAGACCACACUGCACAUUUGCGAGAUUUAGAUUUCUAAUCUUAGGAGCACACAGAGGUCAGAGAACAGCACAUAUCCCCCGGAACUGAAGUGAUGAGGAGUUGUAAGUAGCCAAAGAAACCAUGCCUGGGUCCUCUGCAAUGGUAGGGUAUGCUUCUAGCUCACGAGCC
This 609-nucleotide small RNA is filed under the name Rattus norvegicus (Norway rat). Its description in RNAcentral is "uncharacterized LOC108350533". Lineage: Eukaryota; Metazoa; Chordata; Mammalia; Rodentia; Muridae. The record is from RNAcentral.